Molecule: ribosomal RNA, 449 nt
Filed under: uncultured bacterium
Lineage: Bacteria
Description: bacterial SSU rRNA
Rfam family: Bacterial small subunit ribosomal RNA
Source: RNAcentral
CGCCAGACUCCUACGGGAGGCAGCAGUGGGGAAUAUUGCACAAUGGGGGAAACCCUGACGCAGCGACGCCGCGUGAGUGAAGAAGUAAUUCGUUAUGUAAAGCUCUAUCAGCAGGGAAGAAAAUGACGGUACCUGAAUAAGAAGCCCCGGCUAACUACGUGCCAGCAGCCGCGGUAAUACGUAGGGGGCAAGCGUUAUCCGGAAUUACUGGGUGUAAAGGGAGCGUAGACGGUGAUGUAAGUCUGGAGUGAAAGGCGGGGGCCCACCCCCCGGACUGCUCUGGAAACUAUGUGACUGGAGUGCAGGAGAGGUGAGCGGAAUUCCUAGUGUAGCGGUGAAAUGCGUAGAUAUUAGGAGGAACACCAGUGGCGAAGGCGGCUCACUGGACUGUAACUGACGUUGAGGCUCGAAAGCGUGGGGAGCAAACAGGAUUAGAUACCCUUGUAACG